CUGAGUACGGCGGAACACGUGAAAUUCCGUCGGAAUCCGGGAGGACCAUCUCCCAAGGCUAAAUACUCCCUAGUGACCGAUAGUGAACCAGUACCGUGAGGGAAAGGUGAAAAGCACCCCGGAAGGGGAGUGAAACAGUUCCUGAAACCGUGUGCCUACAAGUAGUUAGAGCCCGUUAAUGGGUGAUAGCGUGCCUUUUGUAGAAUGAACCGGCGAGUUACGAUUUGUUGCAAGGUUAAGCGGAAAAAGCGGAGCCGUAGCGAAAGCGAGUCUGAAUAGGGCGCAUAAGUAACAGGUCGUAGACCCGAAACCAGGUGAUCUACCCAUGUCCAGGAUGAAGGUAAGGUAAUACUUACUGGAGGUCCGAACCCACGCACGUUGAAAAGUGCGGGGAUGAGGUGUGGGUAGCGGAGAAAUUCCAAUCGAACUUGGAGAUAGCUGGUUCUCUCCGAAAUAGCUUUAGGGCUAGCCUCGAGGUAAAGAGUCAUGGAGGUAGAGCACUGUUUGGACUAGGGGCCCUUCUCGGGUUACCGAAUUCAGAUAAACUCCGAAUGCCAUGUACUUAUACUCGGGAGUCAGACUGCGAGUGAUAAGAUCCGUAGUCGAAAGGGAAACAGCCCAGACCACCAGUUAAGGUCCCCAAAUAUAUG
This 650-nucleotide ribosomal RNA is filed under the name Listeria monocytogenes. RNAcentral's name for it is "partial 23S ribosomal RNA". It matches the Rfam family "Bacterial large subunit ribosomal RNA", at positions 408 to 1058 of the family's 2925-position model. Lineage: Bacteria; Bacillati; Bacillota; Bacilli; Caryophanales; Listeriaceae. The record is from RNAcentral.